This 405-nucleotide ribosomal RNA is filed under the name uncultured bacterium. Its description in RNAcentral is "partial 16S ribosomal RNA". It matches the Rfam family "Bacterial small subunit ribosomal RNA", at positions 28 to 526 of the family's 1533-position model. The record is from RNAcentral.
GACGAACGCUGGCGGCGUGCUUAACACAUGCAAGUCGAGCGGAGCGGCGAACGGGAGAGUGACGCGUGAGUAACUGCCCCCGUCUCUGGGAUAACAGUUGGAAACGGAUGCUAAUAACGGAUAGUGGGGGAUGACUCGCGUGCUAUCAGCUUGUUGGUGGGGUAGUGGCCUACCAAGGCGACGACGGGGGGCCGGGCUGAGAGGGCGAUCGGCCACAUUAGUCUGAGAUUCCGCCGUAACUCCUCCGGGAGGCAGAAGUCACGAAUGUUGCACAAUGGGUGAAACCCUGAUGCAGCGACGCCGCGUGCGGGCUGACUGCCUUCGGGUUGUACUCCGCAUUCAGCCAUGACUCGGUAGUGGCAGAAGAAGCACCGGCUAACUACGUGCCAGCAGCCGCGGUAAUAC